UACGUAGGGGGCAAGCGUUGUCCGGAAUCAUUGGGCGUAAAGCGCGUGUAGGCGGCUCGAUAAGUCUGCUGUGAAAGUCCAGGCUCAACCCUGGGAUGCCGGUGGAUACUGUCGAGCUCGAGUCCGGAAGAGGCGAGUGGAAUUCCUGGUGUAGCGGUGAAAUGCGCAGAUAUCAGGAGGAACACCAAUUGCGAAGGCAGCUCGCUGGGACGUUACUGACGCUGAGACGCGAAAGCGUGGGGGAGCAAACAGG
RNAcentral lists this ribosomal RNA (253 nucleotides) under uncultured bacterium. Its description in RNAcentral is "partial 16S ribosomal RNA". It matches the Rfam family "Bacterial small subunit ribosomal RNA", at positions 524 to 776 of the family's 1533-position model. The record is from RNAcentral.